RNAcentral lists this ribosomal RNA (253 nucleotides) under uncultured bacterium. Its description in RNAcentral is "partial 16S ribosomal RNA". It matches the Rfam family "Bacterial small subunit ribosomal RNA", at positions 524 to 776 of the family's 1533-position model. The record is from RNAcentral.
UACGAGGGGGGCUAGUGUUGUUCGGAAUCACUGGGCGUAAAGGGAGCGUAGGCGGGAGCCUAAGUUGGGGGUUUAAUUCCGGGGCCCAACCCCGGGCAUGCACUCAAAACUGGGUUUCUUGAAUAGGGGAGAGGUCGGUGGAAUUGGAGGUGUAGCGGUGGAAUGCGUAGAGAUCUCCAAGAACACCCGUUGCGAAGGCGGCCGACUGGACCCAUAUUGACGCUGAGGCUCGAAAGCAUGGGGAGCAAACAGG